RNAcentral lists this ribosomal RNA (515 nucleotides) under uncultured bacterium. Its description in RNAcentral is "partial 16S ribosomal RNA". It matches the Rfam family "Bacterial small subunit ribosomal RNA", at positions 28 to 523 of the family's 1533-position model. The record is from RNAcentral.
GAUGAACGCUGGCGGCGUGCCUAAUACAUGCAAGUCGAGCGAAUGGAUUAAGAGCUUGCUCUUAUGAAGUUAGCGGCGGACGGGUGAGUAACACGUGGGUAACCUGCCCAUAAGACUGGGAUAACUCCGGGAAACCGGGGCUAAUACCGGAUAACAUUUUGAACCGCAUGGUUCGAAAUUGAAAGGCGGCUUCGGCUGUCACUUAUGGAUGGACCCGCGUCGCAUUAGCUAGUUGGUGAGGUAACGGCUCACCAAGGCAACGAUGCGUAGCCGACCUGGGCGGGUGAACGGCCACACGGGGACUGAGACACGGCCCAGACUCCUACGGGAGGCAGCAGUUGGGAAUCUUCCGCAAUGGACGAAAGUCUGACGGAGCAACGCCGCGUGAGUGAUGAAGGCUUUCGGGUCGUAAAACUCUGUUGUUAGGGAAGAACAAGUGCUAGUUGAAUAAGCUGGCACCUUGACGGUACCUAACCAGAAAGCCACGGCUAACUACGUGCCAGCCGCCGCCGUAA